Sinocyclocheilus anshuiensis is the source of this 603-nucleotide long non-coding RNA. RefSeq lists it as uncharacterized. NCBI's taxonomy places the organism in Eukaryota, Metazoa, Chordata, Actinopteri, Cypriniformes, Cyprinidae. The record is from RefSeq and is a predicted model, not a curated record. The transcript is spliced from 3 exons.
UGUGAGUGAGGUGAUGUAGUGCGAGGUGGGAAAUAGGUAUAUGGCCGUUUACUGCCCGAGUGUGUAUCGACCUCUGUCCAUGGUGCUGGAUUUUAUAAUUCGUGUCCUCCCUACAAUGUAAUGCUUGCAGUUUAAUCCAAUCAGGUCUGAUUCGAGCAAAUUACACAAAACUGUGGUUUCGUACAUACAUUUUGUUCUGCGUUAGAGUACCAUGUAAUUAUAGGUGUGACAGUAAUGAGCAGAUAAGUGCGGCCAAGGUGUCGUCGGGACUCGGCACUGCAGCAUCCGCUCUGCGGCUGCUCGCUGCUGCUGCUCACAGUCCCGCGGACAAAGUCAUGGAGGGAGGGAAGUUGUGAGGCUAAGAAGUGGGUCUACAUCCCCACGAAAAGGGCAAAUUAGAAACGAUGGCGGAGGCUAAUCCACUCAGGGGACUGCCCCGGAUCCAGAGGGCUGCGAUGUCAUUCCCUGGACAUUUGCACUUAGUUCUAGUGCUGAGACCCAAAACCCACCUGCAGACCACUGGAACAGACCUCGGUUUCCGCUUCAGUCAGGACGACUUUGUGCUCAAGAUGCCGAUGGUAAUGCUGAGCUCCCUGACAGACC